GACGUAGGGCGCGAGCGUUGUCCGGAUUUAUUGGGCGUAAAGAGCUCGUAGGCGGCUUGUUGCGUCGACUGUGAAAACCCGCGGCUUAACUGCGGGCUUGCAGUUGAUACGGGCAGGCUAGAGUUCGGUAGGGGAGACUGGAAUUCCUGGUGUAGCGGUGAAAUGCGCAGAUAUCAGGAGGAACACCGGUGGAGAAGGCGGGUCUCUGGGCCGAUACUGACGCUGAGGAGCGAAAGCGUGGGGAGCGAACAGG
Molecule: ribosomal RNA, 253 nt
Filed under: uncultured bacterium
Lineage: Bacteria
Description: partial 16S ribosomal RNA
Rfam family: Bacterial small subunit ribosomal RNA
Source: RNAcentral